UAGGGAAUCUUCGGCAAUGGGGGCAACCCUGACCGAGCAACGCCGCGUGAGUGAAGAAGGUUUUCGGAUCGUAAAGCUCUGUUGUAAGAGAAGAACGAGUGUGAGAGUGGAAAGUUCACACUGUGACGGUAACUUACCAGAAAGGGACGGCUAACUACGUGCCAGCAGCCGCGGUAAUACGUAGGUCCCGAGCGUUAUCCGGAUUUAUUGGGCGUAAAGCGAGCGCAGGCGGUUAGAUAAGUCUGAAGUUAAAGGCUGUGGCUUAACCAUAGUACGCUUUGGAAACUGUUUAACUUGAGUGCAGAAGGGGAGAGUGGAAUUCCAUGUGUAGCGGUGAAAUGCGUAGAUAUAUGGAGGAACACCGGUGGCGAAAGCGGCUCUCUGGUCUGUAACUGACGCUGAGGCUCGAAAGCGUGGGGAGCAAACAGGAUUAGAUACCCUGGUAGUCCACGCCGUNNCGAUGAGUGCUAGGUGUUGGGUCCUUUCCGGGACUCAGUGCCGCAGCUAACGCAUUAAGCACUCCGCCUGGGGAGUACGAUCGCAAGGUUG
Molecule: ribosomal RNA, 549 nt
Filed under: uncultured bacterium
Lineage: Bacteria
Description: bacterial SSU rRNA
Rfam family: Bacterial small subunit ribosomal RNA
Source: RNAcentral